AAAACCUUUAAUUGAGUCCAGAGAGGCUAAAAAGGGUGUUCCAAAAAAGGUGUGAAUCAUUCUGCCUAUAUUUUGUCGUACCUCACCCUCUUUGGGUGAGGUUUUUUUGGA
Molecule: non-coding RNA, 111 nt
Organism: Streptococcus phocae
Lineage: Bacteria; Bacillati; Bacillota; Bacilli; Lactobacillales; Streptococcaceae
Source: Rfam